UACGUAGGGGGCUAGCGUUGUCCGGAAUCAUUGGGCGUAAAGCGCGUGUAGGCGGCCCGGUAAGUCCGCUGUGAAAGUCGGGGGCUCAACCCUCGGAUGCCGGUGGAUACUGUCGGGCUAGAGUGCGGAAGAGGCGAGUGGAAUUCCUGGUGUAGCGGUGGAAUGCGCAGAUAUCAGGAGGAACACCAAUAGCGAAGGCAGCUCGCUGGGACGUUACUGACACUGAGGCGCGAAAGCGUGGGGAGCGAACAGG
Molecule: ribosomal RNA, 253 nt
Filed under: uncultured bacterium
Lineage: Bacteria
Description: partial 16S ribosomal RNA
Rfam family: Bacterial small subunit ribosomal RNA
Source: RNAcentral